This 442-nucleotide ribosomal RNA is filed under the name uncultured bacterium. RNAcentral's name for it is "partial 16S ribosomal RNA". It matches the Rfam family "Bacterial small subunit ribosomal RNA", at positions 61 to 795 of the family's 1533-position model. The record is from RNAcentral.
CCUCCUUUGUUCCUCCUUUUUUCAUAUUUUUCAAUGUUCGCAAUCCUGACCCAGCAACGCCGCGUGAAGGAAGAAGGCUUUCGGGUUGUAAACUUCUUUUGUCAGGGAAGAGUAGAAGAUGGUACCUGACGAAUAAGCCACGGCUAACUACGUGCCAGCAGCCGCGGGACUACGUAGGUGGCAAGCGUUGUCCGGAUUUACUGGGUGUAAAGGGCGUGUAGCCGGGUUGACAAGUCAGAUGUGAAAUCCUGCGGCUUAACCGCAGAACUGCAUUUGAAACUGGUGAUCUUGAGUACUGGAGAGGCAGAUGGAAUUCCUGGUGUAGCGGUGAAAUGCGUAGAUAUUAGGAGGAACACCAGUGGCGAAGGCGGUCUGCUGGACAGAAACUGACGGUGAGGCGCGAAAGCGUGGGGAGCAAACAGGAUUAGAUACCCCUGUAGUC